UUGUGGAGGAGGACGCCGAAGGUGGGGCUAAUGACUGGGGUGAAGUCGUAACAAGGUAGCCGUACCGGAAGGUGCGGCUGGAUCACCUCCUAACAGGGAGACAACAAAAUGUAAAUAUUAAUUUUGUCACCUUAGGUCGAUCGGUAUCUCAGAUUCUUAGUUUUUAAGAAUUUCAGUUUCUAUGUUUUUUCUAGGUCACACCCAUCACUUUUUCCUGGGCCAUUAGCUCAGGUGGUUAGAGCGCACCCCUGAUAAGGGUGAGGUCCCUGGUUCAAGUCCAGGAUGGCCCAUAUCUCUAUGUUGGGGGUAUAGCUCAGUUGGUAGAGCGCCUGCUUUGCAAGCAGGAUGUCAGCGGUUCGAGUCCGCUUACCUCCACUGAAUACCACCUUUUUACAUAUUUUUAAGAAGGGAAAUUGUUGUGAGUCGUGUCCUUUUUGCUCUGAACGAAUCUAGCUUCCUAUUUUAUUUAAUAAAAAUAAGAUGCUGGACUCAUUGAAUUAUUAUUCAAUGUUUUCAGAGAACCUUGACAACUGCAUAGAUUAUUUUUGAAGACAAUAAGCAUCUUUAAUGAUGCAGAUUUAUUAUUUGUGCGAAUGCAUUAAAUAACAAUUCUAUUAAGCUGAUGCUUCAAUUAUUUGAAGUUAUUGGUCAAGCUACAA
RNAcentral lists this unclassified non-coding RNA (659 nucleotides) under uncultured Prochlorococcus sp. RNAcentral's name for it is "partial 16S-23S ribosomal RNA intergenic spacer; may also contain 16S ribosomal RNA and 23S ribosomal RNA". The stretch from base 303 to 375 matches the Rfam family "tRNA". Lineage: Bacteria; Bacillati; Cyanobacteriota; Cyanophyceae; Synechococcales; Prochlorococcaceae. The record is from RNAcentral.